UACGUAGGGUCCGAGCGUUGUCCGGAUUUAUUGGGCGUAAAGAGCGUGUAGGCGGUCCGGUAAGUCGGCUGUGAAAGUCCAGGGCUCAACCCUGGGAUGCCGGUCGAUGCUGCCGGACUAGAGUUCGGAAGAGGCGAGUGGAAUUCCCGGUGUAGCGGUGAAAUGCGCAGAUAUCGGGAGGAACACCUAUGGCGAAGGCAGCUCGCUGGGACGUUACUGACGCUGAGACGCGAAAGCGUGGGGAGCAAACAGG
Molecule: ribosomal RNA, 253 nt
Filed under: uncultured bacterium
Lineage: Bacteria
Description: partial 16S ribosomal RNA
Rfam family: Bacterial small subunit ribosomal RNA
Source: RNAcentral